This 265-nucleotide ribosomal RNA is filed under the name uncultured archaeon. RNAcentral describes it as "partial 16S ribosomal RNA". It matches the Rfam family "Archaeal small subunit ribosomal RNA", at positions 719 to 982 of the family's 1478-position model. The record is from RNAcentral.
AGUCACUGACAUUAGAUACCCGGGUAGUCCAGGGUGUAAACGCUGCAGACUUGGUGUUGGAGGCCCUUUGGGGGCAGUCAGUGCCGGAGAGAAGUUGUUAAGUCUGCUACUUGGGGAGUACGUCCGCAAGGAUGAAACUUAAAGGAAUUGGCGGGGGAGCACCGCAACGGGAGGAGCGUGCGGUUUAAUUGGAUUCAACACCGUAAAACUCACCAGGGAAGACUGUUACAUGAAGGCCGAGAUGAAGACUCUGCUAGAUUUUCAG